This is a long non-coding RNA of Dermochelys coriacea (leatherback sea turtle), 901 nucleotides long. RefSeq lists it as uncharacterized. Lineage: Eukaryota; Metazoa; Chordata; Testudines; Dermochelyidae. The record is from RefSeq and is a predicted model, not a curated record. The transcript is spliced from 3 exons.
AUUUAAAACAGCAUCCAAAGCAGCCUUAAAUAUCCAAGGAACCCCACUAAGAGACAGUCCUUACUAGGCCCUACAGGGUCACUAUUUCGUAUGUGGCCGAAAGGCUUACAAGGUGCUGCCAGCCAACUGGACAAGUAGCUGUUGUAUAGCUCAUGGAGUUCCUCAUCUUUCGAUAACUACCACGCUGCCCAAAGGAAAGAUUAGAAAUGCCCGAGAUACCUCUGUUAAGUCACGAGAAGAGACCCUACAGCAACUCAAUGCGGCAUUGGAGGGCAAUGUUAAGAAUCCCCUCGCAACUGAAAAGCUUGUAGGGUGCUCUAUACUGGGAAUAGCGCCACUGUUUACCGGGCCGGCCCUGGUAUGCAUAGGUCGCUAUACUGUAAGGCUUCAAAUGGUACUUGAGAAAGUCGCCUUAGAGUUAGAGGACUCGAUUAGUGAUUUAGGAUCGGCAGUAAAAACAUUAAAUAAAGAGGUACAGCAGCUCAGGACGUAUUCCCUCCAAAACAGGCAGGCUUUGGACUACCUCUUGGCAUCCCAAGGGGGGGUUUGUGCCCUCGUCGGGUCCCGAUGUUGUGUAUAUGUAAAUGAUAGCAGUUAUGAGGUCUAUGAAAAGGUGGUACAGGCUGAGGCCCAUGCCCGAGCCAGAGCACAGGCUGCCUACACUGCCCCCGAGAGUGAUUGGUUGCAAACCUUGUUUUCAGGAUGGGGUUUGUCAUCUUGGCUUGGUGGUUUAUUUAGCCUGUUAUUGAAAAUUCUCCUUCCUGUACUGAUUGUACUGAUGGUGUUAUGUUAUGCAGUAUCAUGUGUCAGGACCCUUUUGAAAAAUUUGGUAAUUCAUUCUCUUCAGGGCUAUCACAAAGUGCUUAUGCAAAGUCCCAUUGUAAAAAGAUAAGUAGCCCAA